Molecule: ribosomal RNA, 460 nt
Filed under: uncultured bacterium
Lineage: Bacteria
Description: partial 16S ribosomal RNA
Rfam family: Bacterial small subunit ribosomal RNA
Source: RNAcentral
CCUACGGGAGGCAGCAGUGAGGAAUAUUGGUCAAUGGACGCAAGUCUGAACCAGCCAUGCCGCGUGCAGGAAGACGGCUCUAUGAGUUGUAAACUGCUUUUGUACGAGGGUAAAUGCAGAUACGUGUAUCUGGCUGAAAGUAUCGUACGAAUAAGGAUCGGCUAACUCCGUGCCAGCAGCCGCGGUAAUACGGAGGAUUCAAGCGUUAUCCGGAUUUAUUGGGUUUAAAGGGUGCGUAGGCGGUCGGAUAAGUUAGAGGUGAAAUCCCGAGGCUCAACUUCGGAAUUGCCUCUGAUACUGUUCGGCUAGAGAGUAGUUGCGGUAGGCGGAAUGUAUGGUGUAGCGGUGAAAUGCUUAGAGAUCAUACAGAACACCGAUUGCGAAGGCAGCUUACCAAGCUACUUCUGACGUUGAGGCACGAAAGCGUGGGGAGCAAACAGGAUUAGAUACCCCAGUAGUC